RNAcentral lists this ribosomal RNA (396 nucleotides) under uncultured bacterium. RNAcentral describes it as "partial 16S ribosomal RNA". It matches the Rfam family "Bacterial small subunit ribosomal RNA", at positions 523 to 917 of the family's 1533-position model. The record is from RNAcentral.
AUACGUAGGUGGCAAGCGUUGUCCGGAAUUAUUGGGCGUAAAGCGCGCGCAGGCGGUCCUUUAAGUCUGAUGUGAAAGCCCACGGCUCAACCGUGGAGGGUCAUUGGAAACUGGGGGACUUGAGUGCAGAAGAGGAAAGUGGAAUUCCAAGUGUAGCGGUGAAAUGCGUAGAGAUUUGGAGGAACACCAGUGGCGAAGGCGACUUUCUGGUCUGUAACUGACGCUGAGGCGCGAAAGCGUGGGGAGCAAACAGGAUUAGAUACCCUGGUAGUCCACGCCGUAAACGAUGAGUGCUAAGUGUUAGGGGGUUUCCGCCCCUUAGUGCUGCAGCUAACGCAUUAAGCACUCCGCCUGGGGAGUACGUUCGCAAGACUGAAACUUAAAGGAAUUGACGGG